UACAGAGGGUGCGAGCGUUAAUCGGAAUUACUGGGCGUAAAGCGUGCGUAGACGGUUAUUUAAGUCGGGUGUGAAAGCCCCGGGCUCAACCUGGGAAUUGCAUUCGAGACUGAAUAGCUAGGGUACGGUAGAGGGAAGCGGAAUUUCCGGUGUAGCGGUGAAAUGCGUAGAUAUCGGAAGGAACAUCAGUGGCGAAAGCGGCUUCCUGGACCAGUACCGACGUUCAGGCACGAAAGCGUGGGGAGCGAACAGG
RNAcentral lists this ribosomal RNA (253 nucleotides) under uncultured bacterium. RNAcentral's name for it is "partial 16S ribosomal RNA". It matches the Rfam family "Bacterial small subunit ribosomal RNA", at positions 524 to 776 of the family's 1533-position model. The record is from RNAcentral.